UACGUAGGGUGCAAGCGUUAAUCGGAAUUACUGGGCGUAAAGCGUGCGCAGGCGGUUAUUCAAGUCAGAUGUGAAAUCCCCGGGCUCAACCUGGGAACUGCAUUUGUGACUGCAUGGCUAGAGUACGGUAGAGGGGGAUGGAAUUCCGCGUGUAGCAGUGAAAUGCGUAGAUAUGCGGAGGAACACCGAUGGCGAAGGCAAUCCCCUGGACCUGUACUGACGCUCAUGCACGAAAGCGUGGGGAGCAAACAGG
RNAcentral lists this ribosomal RNA (253 nucleotides) under uncultured bacterium. RNAcentral's name for it is "partial 16S ribosomal RNA". It matches the Rfam family "Bacterial small subunit ribosomal RNA", at positions 524 to 776 of the family's 1533-position model. The record is from RNAcentral.